UUAGUGGAAGCGUCUGGAAAGGCGCGCGAUACAGGGUGACAGCCCCGUACACAAAAGCGCAUGUGCUGUGAGCUCGAUGAGUAGGGCGGGACACGUGGUAUCCUGUCUGAAUAUGGGGGGACCAUCCUCCAAGGCUAAAUACUCCUGACUGACCGAUAGUGAACCAGUACCGUGAGGGAAAGGCGAAAAGAACCCCGGCGAGGGGAGUGAAAAAGAACCUGAAACCGUGUACGUACAAGCAGUGGGAGCACAGGUUUACCUGUGUGACUGCGUACCUUUUGUAUAAUGGGUCAGCGACUUAUAUUCUGUAGCAAGGUUAACCGAAUAGGGGAGCCGCAGGGAAACCGAGUCUUAACCGGGCGUUAAGUUGCAGGGUAUAGACCCGAAACCCGGUGAUCUAGCCAUGGGCAGGUUGAAGGUUGGGUAACACUAACUGGAGGACCGAACCGACUAAUGUUGAAAAAUUAGCGGAUGACCUGUGGCUGGGGGUGAAAGGCCAAUCAAACCGGGAGAUAGCUGGUUCUCCCCGAAAGCUAUUUAGGUAGCGCCUCGUGAAUUCAUCUCCGGGGGUAGAGCACUGUUUCGGC
Molecule: ribosomal RNA, 587 nt
Filed under: Salmonella enterica
Lineage: Bacteria; Pseudomonadati; Pseudomonadota; Gammaproteobacteria; Enterobacterales; Enterobacteriaceae
Description: partial 23S ribosomal RNA
Rfam family: Bacterial large subunit ribosomal RNA
Source: RNAcentral